This is an RNA transcript of Carassius auratus (goldfish), 2333 nucleotides long. RefSeq lists it as uncharacterized. The transcript has 8 exons. Lineage: Eukaryota; Metazoa; Chordata; Actinopteri; Cypriniformes; Cyprinidae. The record is from RefSeq and is a predicted model, not a curated record.
AUAUUACUCCUGGGAUUAAAAAAUGGAAACUGGAGAUGUUCAUCUAAACGAGAGACCAGCGAACGGGACGAAGCUUGAUGCUUGUUCUACAGCUUUGCCUUAACAAUACUGGAAUUAUCCGAAUUUUGAUAUUUUCCCAAUGGAAAUGCAAUAUUUAACUGUAGUAUUUAGUUUGUUCGUUUGUUGUGAACUCUCAGUAGUUCUCGCGCUUAGCAAUAAUACGACAUAUUUCACGUCAAAGAACGCUUCAUCCUAUAAAGUGCGUGAAAUCAAUACAGACGGGCAUGAACGACGUGUAACUUUAAAUAAAAUCAGUUAUGGAACGGGUAAGAAACCCAAAGAUGUGCUUUCAUCGACCAGGACUACGAUCAACUUAACGUCUGUGAAUAGGAGCUAUAAAACAACGGUAGGAGCGUUUUCCAGGCAAAAGGAUGAAAUUACUUAUCAAAUGGACAGAAACCGGAAAACAAAAUCAUUUCUGAGGAAAAUGAAAGGCGAAAUUCGCGUAAACCGUCGUUUUCGUCGACAGGAAAGAGUGACGGCGCGAAAUGACCCAGACAGCACAUGUACGUCUGGCCGACGUCGGCCCAAUAUCGAAACGUCGGCCUCUAUACCUAAAACAUCUAUAAAACAUCGGCCUGGCGGAGGCCGAUAUCAUUUGGUCAGUGCUCUGUUCUCCAGCUCAUCAGUCGUCGGCCCUGAGUUGGUUCACGACCGCGGGCCGAUGCCGCGCUUCUCUGUGUGCGCGUGCCCAGUAUUCGUCUCUUUUAGCCACCCAGAGAGAGAGAAGAGGAUAAUCCCAGCGACAUCUGUGGCUCUGAGGUAACGUUACGAUUUCACUUCAGCUCAAUUAGACAAAAAAUACUACUUUGUUAAUUCUGUGACACUGAAAAGGUACUGCGUUUAUACAGUCUAUGGGCAGCUAAAGAGUCUGGCUCAUUUUCAGCGAUUUUUUAACAUUAAUGUUAACGCCUUAAUGCGUUUUCAGAAGUUUCUCGGAGGGAAAAUGUAAAAGCGGAUUAUUAAAGAGAAGUCCUGACUGCUUUUUCACCGUAUUUUUCACUCUUUUACAGGCUUCCAGAAAUAAUCCGGUGAAAUAAUAUGAUGUUUGUUUGUGUGAAUGCUGUGUGUGCGGUGAGUCCUGCCGCUCCUGCGCGAGCGGGGAGCAGAGUUGCCAUGGAAACGGGGCGUCAACACAAAAACCGUUACUGGCAAACAGUAAUCUCCGUCUCUCGCUGCGGUUUACACUGUUUUAGAAACGGUUUAGUGUCUUCGGAAAAGUCCGUUAUCAUUUUAGCAGUUUUCAGGUAACGUUAGGCUAACUCUAUAGACUGAGCUCUUGUUGAUGAAACUCUGGGCUUUUAAUCAAAUCUUCGAUUUGAUUAAAACAAAAUGAUUUUUAAAUUAAUUAUUGAAUGAUUAUUGAACGAGACUGUACAUUAUAAAUGUAAUGUUUUAACUCUAGAUGUUUGUUUGUGUAAAUGCUGUGUGUGCGGUGAGUUCUGCGCGAGUGGGGAGCAGAGUUGCCAUGGAAACGGGGCGUCAACACAAAAACCGUUACUGGCAAACAGUAAUCUCCUUCUCUCGCUGCGGUUUACACUGUAUUAGGAGGACAGAAAGAAACUCUACAGAACAGAAGUGAAGCUCCAAGAUUUCAACAUUUAUGAAGGGAGAUACUGACUUAGAAAUACAGGUGAACUGAAGAAGCUCAUGAAAUACAUGAAUAUGCCUUUUUCAGAAUACAUUUCACCAAUUUUAAGAAGUCCCUGACAUCAUGACCUUGUUUCCUUCUAAUGAACCUGGAACUGCAGAGUAAAUAUUGUUGACUCUGUGUCAGAUUGCUUGUUUUGUUCCUGGAUUCUUCAGUGAUGACGAUCAGAGUCUGAGUGAACCUGCUGUCAGACAGGUUGGCCUGAUUGACGAUGCCAUCGUCCAUCGCCGAUGGCUGAUAGACAUCACGAUGCUGCGCCGGCAAACAGCGUCAUCAGCUCCAGUAUCUCGCCCGUGCAUCUGUUGUCAUGCGACAGAGAAGUCACGUUCUAUAGAGAGUUUCUACAGACAGUUGUGAACGUGCUGACAGCUGGUUGCCCAGGCUAUGGAUUAAAGGGCCAGCAGAGCCCUGCUCACCCUGACGGCCCACCGCUGCUGUCAGACAACAUCUCAAAGAUGCUAUAAACUGCAGGACUAGAUGGCCAUCCCAAGGUUUCUAGAGAUUACACCAGCUCCAAACUGUAUCCAAACUCACUUGUGAAGACUUCAGAUGACACCAACGCUCACAAAGACUACAGACGACAACUGUACAUGAACACACAAAACAAAUAUUAUCCUUAUUU